GUGCCAGCCGCCGCGGUAAUACCGGCAGCCCGAGUGAUGGCCGAUCUUAUUGGGCCUAAAGCGUCCGUAGCUGUCCGCGCAAGUCCAUCGGGAAAUCCACCCGCCCAACGGGUGGCCGUCCGACGGAAACUGCACAGCUUGGGACCGGACGGCUCGAAGGGUACGUUCGGGGUAGGAGUGAAAUCCCAUAAUCCCGCACGGACCACCGAUGGCGAAAGCACUUCGAGAAAACGGAUCCGACAGUGAGGGACGAAAGCCAGGGUCUCCAACCGGAUUAGAUACCGGAGUAGUCC
RNAcentral lists this ribosomal RNA (293 nucleotides) under uncultured bacterium. RNAcentral describes it as "partial 16S ribosomal RNA". It matches the Rfam family "Archaeal small subunit ribosomal RNA", at positions 455 to 747 of the family's 1478-position model. The record is from RNAcentral.